AGCAGCCGCGGUAAUUCCAGCUCCAAUAGCGUAUAUUAAAGUUGUUGCAGUUAAAAAGCUCGUAGUUGAAUUUCGGGAUCAAAGGAUCGGUCAUGCCUUGGUAUGUACUGGUUUUAUUGGUUCUCACCUUCUAAAGAACCAUAAUGUCAUUCAUUUGAUGUUAUGGGGAAUUAGGACUGUUACCUUGAAAAAAUUAGAGUGUUUAAAGCAGGCUUACGCUUGAAUACAUUAGCAUGGAAUAAUGAAAUAGGACAUCAGAUUCUAUUUUGUUGGUUUCUAGGAUCGAUGUAAUGAUUAAUAGGGAUAGUUGGGGGCAUUAGUAUUCAAUUGUCAGAGGUGAAAUUCUUGGAUUUAUUGAAGACUAACUACUGCGAAAGCAUUUGCCAAGGAUGUUUUCAUUAAUCAAGAACGAAAGUUAGGGGAUCGAAGACGAUCAGAUACCGUCGUAGUCUUAACCAUAAACUAUGCCGACUGGGGAUCGGAUGAUGUUAAUUUUAUAAUGACUC
RNAcentral lists this ribosomal RNA (506 nucleotides) under uncultured Glomus. Its description in RNAcentral is "SSU rRNA". It matches the Rfam family "Eukaryotic small subunit ribosomal RNA", at positions 569 to 1077 of the family's 1831-position model. The record is from RNAcentral. Lineage: Eukaryota; Fungi; Glomeromycota; Glomeromycetes; Glomerales; Glomeraceae.